This 21-nucleotide microRNA is filed under the name Pteropus alecto (black flying fox). RNAcentral describes it as "pal-miR-9992-5p". The record is from miRBase by way of RNAcentral. Lineage: Eukaryota; Metazoa; Chordata; Mammalia; Chiroptera; Pteropodidae.
GCUACCCCGUGUGACUUGCCC